Molecule: ribosomal RNA, 500 nt
Filed under: uncultured bacterium
Lineage: Bacteria
Description: partial 16S ribosomal RNA
Rfam family: Bacterial small subunit ribosomal RNA
Source: RNAcentral
AUUGAACGCUGGCGGAAUGCUUUACACAUGCAAGUCGAACGGCAGCACGGACUUCGGUCUGGUGGCGAGUGGCGAACGGGUGAGUAACAUAUCGGAACGUAUCCAAUAAUGGGGGAUAACUAAUCGAAAGGUUGGCUAAUACCGCAUACGCCCUACGGGGGAAAGCAGGGGAUCUUCGGACCUUGCGUUAAUGGAGCGGCUGAUAUCUGGUUAGCUAGUUGGUGAGGUAAAGGCUCACCAAGGCGAGGAUCAGUAGCUGGUCUGAGAGGACGACCAGCCACACUGGAACUGAGACACGGUCCAGACUCCUACGGGAGGCAGCAGUGGGGAAUUUUGGACAAUGGGCGCAAGCCUGAUCCAGCCAUUCCGCGUGAGUGAAGAAGGCCUUCGAGUUGUAAAGCUCUUUCGCAAGGGAAGAAAACUUACUUUCUAAUAAAGAGUGAGGUUGACGGUACCUUGAUAAGAAGCACCGGCUAACUACGUGCCAGCCGCCGCGGUAA